Molecule: ribosomal RNA, 269 nt
Filed under: uncultured bacterium
Lineage: Bacteria
Description: partial small subunit ribosomal RNA
Rfam family: Bacterial small subunit ribosomal RNA
Source: RNAcentral
AGAGCGAACGCUGGCGGCGUGCUUAACACAUGCAAGUCGAACGCGCAGCAUUCUGUAGCAAUACAGGGUGUGGGCGCGUGGCGAACGGGUGCGUAACACGUGGAUAACCUUCCUUCAGGUGGGGAAUAACCCAGUGAAAAUUGGGCUAAUACCGCAUAACAAAACGAUGAGACAUCUUGUUGUUUUCAAAGGCGCAAGUCGCCAGAAGAGGGAUCCGCGGCCGAUUAGCUUGUUGGCGAGGUAAUGGCUCACCAAGGCAAUGAUCGGUA